GCGCGCGUGCGUGCGUGUGCGUGUGCGUUUUGGACAUAAAUCCGGCCACAUCCAUUUUUUUAGCAGCUUAUUAUGUGAAGGGUGACGGGAAGCUAAAGCCUCUAUCUCACAUUGGGUGAGAGGCAGACUAUGACUUGGACUGUUUGGCAGUGCAUUGCGGGACAUUGUUUUGGGCUAAAGACGAGAAAUGUUCACAGGUCAGGAAUGUAACACUUUCCUCAUCUGUCUUUGACAAGACCUCUCAUCUCUUGCAGUGUCCUCCACCCAGGUACACAAGUGGGCCUGCUAUUCCCAACUAUACCCUAUUCUGCCCUAGUUGCUGGCUAAUUCCUGUGACCAUGUAUGGGCCAACAUUUUUCACGUACAGAGAAUGGUGGAAUUGUAAGCAUUUUGGUUUGCUUGGUCUGAAGUACAUAUUUCAGACCUCCAAAGAAUGUGUCUCAUAGGUGCCGUUGGCCUCGACAACUUGUCAGAAACGUGACAUGGAUAACGUCUGUUUGUUCUUUUAGAUUUUAGUCAUUGGCAUUAUAACUCUUUAUGCUCAUUUCCAUUGAUUACAUUGUCACAAGAAUCAGUCAUUUUUGUUUAAUGUCCUUUCUUCAAUUGAUUUGAUCAACUUGUCACAUAUGUGUAAUGAAAUUGCGAGAGUAAAACAAGUAAUGUGUCACAUACUGGAUUUUUAUUGACAUGCCUUAAUUUGAAAAACUGUAAGGUAGAAGUGGCAACUUUAUCAAACAAGGGGUGCACUUGUAUUAAAUAUAUUGUGGCUUGAUUGGUAGUAAAAA
Long non-coding RNA from Hippocampus comes (tiger tail seahorse), 785 nucleotides. RefSeq lists it as uncharacterized. Lineage: Eukaryota; Metazoa; Chordata; Actinopteri; Syngnathiformes; Syngnathidae. The transcript is spliced from 2 exons. The record is from RefSeq and is a predicted model, not a curated record.